This is a long non-coding RNA of Lolium rigidum, 3693 nucleotides long. RefSeq lists it as uncharacterized. Lineage: Eukaryota; Viridiplantae; Streptophyta; Magnoliopsida; Poales; Poaceae. The record is from RefSeq and is a predicted model, not a curated record. The transcript is spliced from 12 exons.
GGCGGCGUAGGAGGAUGAGGAGAAGCGGGCGGAGCAGCAGCAGAGACCACCGGAGACGCUUUGCUUCCCCCAUCGUCCUCCAUCUCCGCCUUCUCGUCGCCUCUGUGCGCCGGCCGGCACACAUGAGAAGGAGGCAGCUGGGAGAUGGCUCAAGGGCACGUGCUCCUGCUCGAUGGCGUUGUCCUCAGCGCGGUGGAGCAUGGCGCUGCCGUCAGCCUCGUUCAUCCCAGGCAUCUCUCUCCGUGAGAAGCCCCAAGGAUCCUCUCUCCUUUGUCAUCUCUCUUUCUCUCCAGAUUCUAUUUUAUCUAUGCUCAGAAGGUGUUUGACAUAAUUCAUGCAAGCCAAGAUUAAUCCAUUUCAUAUCUUUGCUCUAUUGAUUGCUCAAUAGUUUCGUUCUUCUCUGUAAAAAUGGCUCUAAUGCAUUCCAAGAUUUUGCAUACAUAUUGUACACUCGGUAUAACCAUUUUUUUUUUAGUUACGACUGUUUGUUGCUUUGGCUAGAAUCUAUUCAUGUGUUGAAGAAUGCAAUGUGGAUGAAGUGAGAGCAAGCAGCCUUUCUGGUCGUAGUUCAUAAUUUUCCUUUUCGUUUGUUAGUUCAUACUUUUUCUUUAUUAGAUCUUUAGAAUAUAGUGUUGCAUAAGUUACUCCAUGUAUUUCCUGGUCGUCAUCCUCCUUUGCAGAACUGGUUGAUGCCCUCAGGAGCUCCACAGGCAGAGGAGGAUUUACUCCACAACUUCGUUUCCUCCGUUUCAAGCUGACCCACAGAGUUGCAUGAUGCAGCGUAGGGCGCAGCAUCUCAGCAGGUGGAGAGAGCGCGUGAGGUUUUCUUUGGUGGCGCUACAAAUUAUAAGGAAGAGUGCUUGGAUCCAGUCUUAUGUGAGUUUAUUCUGAUUUUUUGGUCAGAUCUGGAUCAACCGGUUCUCCUUGUCUUUAGUGUCAAAUAUCAGAAGUUCUCCAUACAUGGUGGAAGCACAACUUGAAUCAGAUGCUAGACAACUGCAGUAUUAUAAGGGUAGGCAAAAAAUACUGACUUUUCAUUGUUUUAAUUAUCACAGCUCCUUAUAUAAUAUAAUGUAUCAUUGUUAGAAUACCAUAUUCUUUUAUUUUGAGUUAAAGUUGUAGAUUUGCCUUUCUAAAAUACUACAAUAUACCUGCACCAUCUGAAGCUCAUGAAGGGCUCGUGGGUGUGUUCCGCUCUUUUCCCCCUUUUUCUUUAUUCCAAACCAUCUGCUUACUCUCUUCAGCCUAAGGCAAAUAAUUGUUUUUAUUUGGUAUCCAGAUGUCACUGGCAUGAUUACUACAAUUUCUGAUAUUUGAGUUUUCACAAUCCCAGGAAGGGUUAAACAUUUAGUGAGAAGAGAUGUAGUGUUCUCUGGUCCUCAUUAUUUUUUUACAUGAUUGCUAAAUGUGUUCUACCAUUAUUUGUCGACCUUUUUUCUUAGUGAUUUAUGUUUCUAAUUUGUCGGACUUGGCAGGUUGUUAGUCAUUUGCAAUGCUUCUGGUGGUCAUGCUAGCACCUAUUUGCUUUGUGUCUGUGUACAACCUCGACUGUUAGAAAUUAGUUUCUUAAUUUCAAAUAGAUUCUGCAAGCUCACAUUAUGUUUUAAUAAUGAUCUACUGUCUGAUGAUAUUGACCAUUCUAGCUUUGGUAAUAACUCAUGUUGUAAUGGCUCCAGAAUAUUUUUUAAUUAUCUACUUCUCGGAACAUAUAUUAUGAAUUGACUAAAUGGGGCGAUAAUUGUUUAGUUAAGUUCUGUGUCUAUCAAAUGCAGUUAUGAUGUAAUUGCUUUAGUAGGCUUUUGGGCACUUAAAUACUGUUAGGUGAAUGUGAGGCAUUUGCUUAUUUGGUUUGCAUAUUAUAGUCUUUAUCUCUGAAACACAAAAUACAUUUCUUAUUUGGUUUGCGGAUUAUAUGCUUAGCUCUCAAGCACGAAAUGAUCUUGCCAUAUAAAUUCGCUAUCUUUAUUUCCUAAAUGUAUAUAUGAUGAUAUGUUAUCUUAAAUUUUGUGCCAUGCCAAUGUUGUUCUUACAAGACCUACCGAUAGUCAGAUCUUGUCAUUGCCAGGGUUGCAGUAGGUGGAGCAGAAGUGGAUGGGGUCUUGCUGUUCAUCAUAGUGUCAAAUAUCAGAAGUUCUCCAUACGUGGUGGAAGCACAACUUGAAUCAGAUGCUAGACAACUGCAGUAUUAUAAGGGUUGCACGCUUGCACCGAGUUCAACGGCGCGCGGGGUGCUGGGAUCCAGCGGAGGUCGCGCUGGCUGAAGGCAGCCCGACGCUAGCCAUGAUACCCCCGAUGCUAUGAGGUGACACAACCUACUAUGAUGUUGUUGCAAACUCAGCUGCAUCUGGGAUACUUGUUGCUGGUAUGCAUCUUUUAAACCACUCAACCUGAAUGCCAUGUUUUCUAUGUUCUUUGUUGUCACACCAUGAGUAGAACAAAUGUGCCUUCUUCUGGUUGUUUAUACCAUGCAAAUCAGUAUCAGUGUUUAAAUGGCCUCAAGACUGUGCAUGAUAGGAGGAUAGGUACUUGGAGGAACUAUAAAUAUUAACACCCAGGGAACACUCAUAUCUGAUUUGGAGACUUGCAUUGAUAUAAGCAUGGUCAGGAACUUUGGGAGGAGAGGCUGUCACCAUCGUAUGGAGGAGCGCCAACCGCUACUCCGUUGGAAGGAGCUGCCGACACCACAGCCAGGCGUUUGUCCUCGCCUCGGCAAGGCUGUGGUGCCCCUGGUUACAAGAUCAAGGUCAACGCGCUGCUGGUACUGUCGCGGCGGGUGGACGCCGCUACUUCUGUUAGCUGCUGUUCGGUUCCAAUCCUGGUAUUACAUUUUUCAUCCAUCAUCUACUCUACAAUUACAGUACCAUGGAGGGUAGAGAUGAACUGCCUGUACGCAUGCAACGGCGUGGGACUCCUUGGCUUAUACGAAGGAACUGUAUAUCUGUUUGUACCCAAAUAGUGUUAUUCUUCGUUGUCUUGAGCUACUAUUCUUUAACAUGUCGUCUAUUGGUUUGUUUGUUUCCGAGAAGGAAGACUUGCGGUGCUGCACGUUUCCUCUGCCCGUGGUGCAGCUAACUGAAAAGAACGUAGGCUGAUCAUUGAUUCAAAACGUGCUAGCUUUAAAGAUCAUGUUUUACAUGUUACGAUGCCUUCGGUUCAUCACAGCGAAACCAAUGAACAGUCAGUUGAAAAGACGGAUAACAUAUGUGCCAAGGAUACACCAGUUAUCGCACAAGCAGUAGUCGAACAUCUGUCUACACUAAGUGAUAAACAAUGUGGAACAAACCCUGUCGAAGAUGUGCUUGAUGCCGAUGACACGAAUGCCGAUGACACGAAAAACAUCAGUUGAUUCCCCGUUAGGAAAGUUGUCUAAUAGGUGACACGGGUCACCGAUAGUUCUCUUCCAGCUAUCUAGGUGUUGUAGAAUCUUACCGUUCCACUCUUCUCUUUUGCUAUGUAUUGUACAUAUGAAUCAAGCGUACGAUGCAAUGCAAUAGCUGUCUUCUGCAUCUCUUAUAGCUGGUGGCUUGACCCUUCCGUGUCCUUCGUUCUGUACAAUUGCUUUUGCUUCAUGUUGCUAUCUCCACUCUUAUUUUUACUUCUUUGUACUUUCUACUAGCUGCCAUACUUAGUUUGGAGAAAAGACUUUGUACUGGAAUGGAUUAUCAUAUUGGCAACUUUUUUAUCACACUUAUA